GCUCAAUUGGUACGGCACAAGGCUCUUAACCUUGUGGAUGUGGAUUCAAGUCCCAU
RNAcentral lists this transfer RNA (56 nucleotides) under Triticum aestivum (bread wheat). It matches the Rfam family "tRNA", at positions 10 to 63 of the family's 71-position model. From Rfam's summary of the family: Transfer RNA (tRNA) molecules are approximately 80 nucleotides in length. Their secondary structure includes four short double-helical elements and three loops (D, anti-codon, and T loops). Lineage: Eukaryota; Viridiplantae; Streptophyta; Magnoliopsida; Poales; Poaceae. The record is from Rfam by way of RNAcentral. RNAcentral also lists the same sequence under 1 other name.